This 253-nucleotide ribosomal RNA is filed under the name uncultured bacterium. Its description in RNAcentral is "partial 16S ribosomal RNA". It matches the Rfam family "Bacterial small subunit ribosomal RNA", at positions 524 to 776 of the family's 1533-position model. The record is from RNAcentral.
UACAGAGGUUUCAAGCGUUGUUCGGAUUCAUUGGGCGUAAAGGGUGCGUAGGUGGCGCCGUAAGUCAGGUGUGAAAUUUCGGAGCUUAACUCCGAAACUGCAUUUGAUACUGCGGUGCUUGAGGACUGGAGAGGAGACUGGAAUUCACGGUGUAGCAGUGAAAUGCGUAGAGAUCGUGAGGAAGACCAGUGGCGAAGGCGGGUCUCUGGACAGUUCCUGACACUGAGGCACGAAGGCCAGGGGAGCGAACGGG